UACAGAGGUCUCAAGCGUUGUUCGGAAUCACUGGGCGUAAAGGGCGCGUAGGCCGCACGGAAAGUCAGAGGUGAAAUCCUGGAGCUCAACUUCGGAAUUGCCUCCGAUACUCCCGUGCUUGAGGACUGGAGAGGAGUCUGGAAUUCACAGUGGAGCAGUGAAAUGCGUAGAUAUUGUGAGGAACACUAGUGGCGAAGGCGAGACUCUGGACAGUUCCUGACGCUGAGGCACGAAGGCCAGGGGAGCAAACGGG
Molecule: ribosomal RNA, 253 nt
Filed under: uncultured bacterium
Lineage: Bacteria
Description: partial 16S ribosomal RNA
Rfam family: Bacterial small subunit ribosomal RNA
Source: RNAcentral